RNAcentral lists this ribosomal RNA (444 nucleotides) under Vibrio parahaemolyticus. RNAcentral describes it as "bacterial SSU rRNA". It matches the Rfam family "Bacterial small subunit ribosomal RNA", at positions 87 to 527 of the family's 1533-position model. Lineage: Bacteria; Pseudomonadati; Pseudomonadota; Gammaproteobacteria; Vibrionales; Vibrionaceae. The record is from RNAcentral.
GGCGUCGAGCGGCGGACGGGUGAGUAAUGCCUAGGAAAUUGCCCUGAUGUGGGGGAUAACCAUUGGAAACGAUGGCUAAUACCGCAUGAUGCCUACGGGCCAAAGAGGGGGACCUUCGGGCCUCUCGCGUCAGGAUAUGCCUAGGUGGGAUUAGCUAGUUGGUGAGGUAAGGGCUCACCAAGGCGACGAUCCCUAGCUGGUCUGAGAGGAUGAUCAGCCACACUGGAACUGAGACACGGUCCAGACUCCUACGGGAGGCAGCAGUGGGGAAUAUUGCACAAUGGGCGCAAGCCUGAUGCAGCCAUGCCGCGUGUGUGAAGAAGGCCUUCGGGUUGUAAAGCACUUUCAGUCGUGAGGAAGGUAGUGUAGUUAAUAGCUGCAUUAUUUGACGUUAGCGACAGAAGAAGCACCGGCUAACUCCGUGCCAGCAGCCGCGGUAAUACG